UACAGGGGGGCAACGUCGUUGUCGGAAUUACUGGGCGUAAAGGGCUCGUAGGCGGCCAACUAAGUCACACGUGAAAUCCCCAGGCUUAACCUGGGAACUGCGUGUGAUACUGGAUGGCUUGAAUCCGGGAGAGGGAUGCGGAAUUCCAGGUGUAGCGGUGAAAUGCGUAGAUAUCUGGAGGAACACCGGUGGCGAAGGCGGCAUCCUGGACCGGUAUUGACGCUGAUGAGCGAAAGCCAGGGGAGCAAACGGG
This 253-nucleotide ribosomal RNA is filed under the name uncultured bacterium. Its description in RNAcentral is "partial 16S ribosomal RNA". It matches the Rfam family "Bacterial small subunit ribosomal RNA", at positions 524 to 776 of the family's 1533-position model. The record is from RNAcentral.